RNAcentral lists this transfer RNA (100 nucleotides) under Ephemerocybe angulata. RNAcentral's name for it is "Coprinellus angulatus tRNA". It matches the Rfam family "tRNA". Rfam says of the family: Transfer RNA (tRNA) molecules are approximately 80 nucleotides in length. Their secondary structure includes four short double-helical elements and three loops (D, anti-codon, and T loops). Further hydrogen bonds mediate the characteristic L-shaped molecular structure. tRNAs have two regions of fundamental functional importance: the anti-codon, which is responsible for specific mRNA codon recognition, and the 3' end, to which the tRNAs corresponding amino acid is attached (by aminoacyl-tRNA synthetases). tRNAs cope with the degeneracy of the genetic code in two manners: having more than one tRNA (with a specific anti-codon) for a particular amino acid; and 'wobble' base-pairing, i.e. permitting non-standard base-pairing at the 3rd anti-codon position. Lineage: Eukaryota; Fungi; Basidiomycota; Agaricomycetes; Agaricales; Psathyrellaceae. The record is from Rfam by way of RNAcentral.
GCUUCCUUGGCUCAGUUGGUUAGAGCGUCAGUCUCAUAGUCACGUGAGUGGGAUCACCCAUGCAAUCUGAAGGUCGUGAGUUCGACCCUCACAGGGAGCA